This 109-nucleotide non-coding RNA is filed under the name Halobacillus sp. Its description in RNAcentral is "SAM-I sequence". It matches the Rfam family "SAM riboswitch aptamer (S box leader)". From Rfam's summary of the family: The SAM riboswitch is found upstream of a number of genes which code for proteins involved in methionine or cysteine biosynthesis in Gram-positive bacteria. Lineage: Bacteria; Bacillati; Bacillota; Bacilli; Caryophanales; Bacillaceae. RNAcentral also lists the same sequence under 1 other name. The record is from RNAcentral.
CUCUUAUCCAGAGAGGCGGAGGGACUGGCCCUAUGAUGCCCGGCAACCGGCAAGCGUACGCUUGACAAGGUGCCAAAUCCUGCAGAGUUAUAAUUCUGGGAGAUGAGAG